UACGGAGGGUGCAAGCGUUAUCCGGAUUCACUGGGUUUAAAGGGUGCGUAGGUGGGUUGAUAAGUCAGUGGUGAAAUCCCCGAGCUUAACUUGGGAACUGCCAUUGAUACUAUUGAUCUUGAAUACCGUGGAGGUCAGCGGAAUAUGUCAUGUAGCGGUGAAAUGCUUAGAUAUGACAUAGAACACCAAUUGCGAAGGCAGCUGGCUACGCGAAUAUUGACACUGAUGUACGAAAGCGUGGGGAUCAAGCAGG
Molecule: ribosomal RNA, 253 nt
Filed under: uncultured bacterium
Lineage: Bacteria
Description: partial 16S ribosomal RNA
Rfam family: Bacterial small subunit ribosomal RNA
Source: RNAcentral